UUCAAAAGACAAUGUCUUCAGGCAGAGUCUAGCAAAGCAGCUUCCCCUGGAAAUCCUCAGGGAAGUUAUUUUGUCAGCGGGUGACUGCAUAUUUGACACUUUCUCUGGUUUGCAGAAGGGAUGUGCUCACUCAAGAAGUUUUUCGGAAAGCGGCACACUUUGCCUGGCUAGACAUAGUGGCCAACUGGAAGAAUUGUCCUCCUGUCACCCGGAACGAGUUCAGACGGAUGUACGGCAUCAGGGAAUGCUUGCAGUGCAGAGCCCUUUUCAAGUUUAACCCACCAGGGUACAGGGAAGAGGCCAGCAUGGUGAUCUUCUGGGCUGUUGUUUACACAGGAUUUUGUUCCAAGGACUGUUUUUUUUUUUUUUUUUUUUUUUUUUGCGGCAUUAAACACAUUUGUGUGUUGAGUUCAUUGAAGGGAAAUAGAGAAUGAACUGAGAUC
Molecule: long non-coding RNA, 443 nt
Organism: Carassius auratus (goldfish)
Lineage: Eukaryota; Metazoa; Chordata; Actinopteri; Cypriniformes; Cyprinidae
Exons: 3
Source: RefSeq, a predicted model, not a curated record